AAUUUUUGACAAUGGGGGAAACCCUGAUCCAGCCAUCCCGCGCGUAUGAUGAAGGCCUUCGGGUUGUAAAGUACUUUUGGUUGAGAGGAAAAGGUAUCUCCUAAUACGGGAUACUGCUGACGGGAUCUGCAGAAGAAGCACCGGCUAACUACGUGCCAGCAGCGGCGGUAAUACGUAGGGUGCAAGCGUUAAUCGGAAUUACUGGGCGUAAAGCGUGUGUAGGCGGUUCGGAAUGAAAGAUGUGAAAUCCCAGGGCUCAACCUUGGAACCGCAUUUUUAACUGCCGAGCUAGAGUAUGUCAGAGGGGGGUAGAAUUCCACGUGUAGCAGUGAAAUGCAUAGAUAUGUGGAGGAAUACCGAUGGCGAAGGCAGCCCCCUGGGAUAAUACUGACGCUCAGACACGAAAGCGUGGGGAGCAAACAGG
RNAcentral lists this ribosomal RNA (424 nucleotides) under uncultured bacterium. RNAcentral's name for it is "partial 16S ribosomal RNA". It matches the Rfam family "Bacterial small subunit ribosomal RNA", at positions 360 to 776 of the family's 1533-position model. The record is from RNAcentral.